UGCCUUUUCGUUGUUCGCGUCGGGUUCACCAGCUAGGUGGUUCGCCAUGAAGUACAGGAAGGGGGUCGCCGGCGAGUCCAACGAUGACGAC
RNAcentral lists this microRNA precursor (91 nucleotides) under Oryza sativa (Asian cultivated rice). Its description in RNAcentral is "miR5077 stem-loop (osa-MIR5077)". The record is from miRBase by way of RNAcentral. Lineage: Eukaryota; Viridiplantae; Streptophyta; Magnoliopsida; Poales; Poaceae.